UCCAUCCUGCCCUCAGAACCGACAGACCUACGGACCGACAGCGCGACUGGCUACAGGGCCCUGCUUCCUGCGCCCUCCUUCCUGCUUCCGGCGCUGGGCCCGCCUCUGUGCUGCUUAACUUCCGCGGGCCAGAAGGACGGUGACGCGAAGAGCCGUUGAAGCACCCUUCACCCCAUUUCUUAAAUCAUCUCCCACCAGGGUAGCGUUAAAUAACUGCGGGCCUAAUCCCGCCCUCCCUAACUCCUUCAGGUCAUUGGUUCACACGCUCUCCGCCCCCGACGCGGCGGCCCCAACCGGCUCUUCCGCCUUCCGGGUUUGCUGCCUUGCACCUGCGCAGUUACAGCUCCGGGAAAAAGCUCCCGCGGCAGCCUGAGCAGUUAACUCUGGAGUAGGGAUCAAGAGCCAUUCCAAUAGAACGCCGAGAGACUCCAACGGGAGGACUGGCUUUUAAAGGGCUGGGAGGCAGUGCCCAGAGAGAAGCCUCCUCCAUCAGAUUGGGGGGGGGGGGGGAGCGCGGGGACAGCCUAAGGGCAAUCGGACUGUGUGCAGGCGCGCGUCUGGCCCGUUGCCUUGUCUCCUGAUUUCUCCCAGAGGUAGUGCUGGGGAAACUGAGGCAGCGAGGAGUCCAGCCUCCCACGCAGUCAAGAUCCCCCUGGCCAGCAUCAUGGGGGAUCUAACUGCCCGCCCUGCCCCUGCCAGGGAAUGAAGACGCAGGGAGAUGUGUCCAGGGCCUCAAGAGUGGCAAACCUCCUGGGGAACAGAAGAGGUGGCCAUGGGCAUCAUCUACAUUUUUUCACCACCUCCUGGGUGCCAGGCUCACUCAUGCUUAACUCCUCCUAGCAACUUGGCCAGAUUGGCCAAGGAAGGGAUCAGGAGCUCAGCCAGGCCGGCGGCAGCACAGUGGCCUGAAUUUCCUCUCCAGAUCUCGUGCCUCAUUAGGUCCCAGAGACAAAGAGGGCCGUGUGUACGGGAGGCACCCAGGGCAGCCCCGCCCUCCUGGGCCCCUGCCUGAAUUUGGUCACCUGGGCUGGACUUUGAAGGGCCUUUGGGCAAGUUGGACCUGAUCCUGUCUCCUUCACUCUGGCCCGAACGAAAGGGAAGACAGCUAGACCAGUCCAACAGGUCACACGACGGCCCAUCCGUGUUCAGCACAUACUCACAGGCCCUGGUUGGAUGCUAGAGGCCUAGUCUGAUGAGCAGCUACCUUGCAGGGGAGACAAGCUAUAAACAAGUCAGUGAGGUCUCCUUGCGAGAAUGAGGAAAACAACAAGCCAAGGAAUGUGGAAGGAGAGGCCUACCUUGUGAGCAUCUGAUAGGAUCCGGGAGCUGGAACCUCAAGGGCAGCUCUGCAGGGAGAACCCAGCCCGCGGCACAGGACUGACUGAGGGUUGCCUGCUGCGAGGCUGGGGAACCUCAGCACAGGGCCUAGAGCAGAG
Molecule: non-coding RNA, 1436 nt
Organism: Odocoileus virginianus texanus
Lineage: Eukaryota; Metazoa; Chordata; Mammalia; Artiodactyla; Cervidae
Source: RefSeq, a predicted model, not a curated record